This is a small nuclear RNA of Nomascus leucogenys (northern white-cheeked gibbon), 107 nucleotides long. The record is from Ensembl. NCBI's taxonomy places the organism in Eukaryota, Metazoa, Chordata, Mammalia, Primates, Hylobatidae.
GCGCUCACUUCGGCAGCACACAUACUAAAAUUGGAAUGAUACAGAGAAGAUUAGCACGGCCCCUGCUCAAGGAUGACGUGCAAAUUCAUAAAGCGUUCCAUAAAAAU